Molecule: ribosomal RNA, 585 nt
Filed under: uncultured bacterium
Lineage: Bacteria
Description: partial 16S ribosomal RNA
Rfam family: Bacterial small subunit ribosomal RNA
Source: RNAcentral
UGGGGAAUUUUGGACAAUGGGCGCAAGCCUGAUCCAGCCAUGCCGCGUGCGGGAAGAAGGCCUUCGGGUUGUAAACCGCUUUUGUCAGGGAAGAAAUCUUCUGAGUUAAUACCUCGGGAGGAUGACGGUACCUGAAGAAUAAGCACCGGCUAACUACGUGCCAGCAGCCGCGGUAAUACGUAGGGUGCAAGCGUUAAUCGGAAUUACUGGGCGUAAAGCGUGCGCAGGCGGUUUUGUAAGACAGAGGUGAAAUCCCCGGGCUCAACCUGGGAACUGCCUUUGUGACUGCAAGGCUUGAGUGCGGCAGAGGGGGAUGGAAUUCCGCGUGUAGCAGUGAAAUGCGUAGAUAUGCGGAGGAACACCGAUGGCGAAGGCAAUCCCCUGGGCCUGCACUGACGCUCAUGCACGAAAGCGUGGGGAGCAAACAGGGUUAGAUACCCUGGUAGUCCACGCCCUAAACGAUGUCAACUGGUUGUUGGGAAGGUUCCUUCUCAGUAACGUAGCUAACGCGUGAAGUUGACCGCCUGGGGAGUACGGCCGCAAGGUUGAAACUUAAAUGAAUUGACGGGGUCAUAGCUGUUUCCU